UUUGGAUACUGUCGAGCUUGAGUGCAGGAGAGGUAAGUGGAAUUCCCAGUGUAGCGGUGAAAUGCGUAGAGAUUGGGAGGAACACCAGUGGCGAAGGCGACUUACUGGACUGUAACUGACGCUGAGGCGCGAAAGUGUGGGGAGCAAACAGGAUUAGAUAUCCUGGUAGUCCACACUGUAAACGAUGAAUGCUAGGUGUAGGAGGUAUCGACCCCUUCUGUGCCGCAGUUAACACAAUAAGCAUUCCGCCUGGGGAGUACGGCCGCAAGGUUGAAACCCAAAGGAAUUGACGGGGGCCCGCACAAGCAGCGGAGCAUGUGGUUUAAUUCGACGCAACGCGAAGAACCUUACCAGGUCUUGACAUCCAGUAAAACCCGUAGAGAUACGGUGUGAGCUUGCUCAUACUGAGACAGGUGGUGCAUGGUUGUCGUCAGCUCGUGUCGUGAGAUGUUGGGUUAAGUCCCGCAACGAGCGCAACCCUUACCUUUAGUUACUAACGUGUUAUGGCGAGGACUCUAGAGGGACUGCCGGGGACAACUCGGAGGAAGGUGGGGACGACGUCAAAUCAUCAUGCCCCUUAUGACCUGGGCUACACACGUGCUACAAUGGCCACCACAGAGAGAAGCGAGCCUGCGAGGGUAAGCGGAACUCAAAAAAGUGGUCCCAGUUCGGAUUGUGGGCUGCAACCCGCCCACAUGAAGUCGGAGUUGCUAGUAAUCGCGGAUCAGCAUGCCGCGGUGAAUACGUUCCCGGGCCUUGUACACAC
RNAcentral lists this ribosomal RNA (766 nucleotides) under uncultured bacterium. Its description in RNAcentral is "bacterial SSU rRNA". It matches the Rfam family "Bacterial small subunit ribosomal RNA", at positions 625 to 1390 of the family's 1533-position model. The record is from RNAcentral.